Molecule: non-coding RNA, 80 nt
Organism: Blastosporella zonata
Lineage: Eukaryota; Fungi; Basidiomycota; Agaricomycetes; Agaricales; Lyophyllaceae
Source: the annotation of a GenBank genome assembly
UCGGAUAUGGUGUAACGGCUAACAUUGCCGCCUCUCAUACAUGUGCGCGGCAGCUCGGGGUUCGAUUCCCCGUAUCCGAA